GCGACGGAAACAAAAAGAAAACGUGACGGCUAAAUCCUAAGGAGAAAAAAGAGUUUCUCAAGGUUUUGAGAUUUGAUCUCAACAGCACUAGCACCCCGUAUCGAUCCAGUUCGUGCGUGUGUGGAUAUCGAGAGAGGCACAACGUUUGAAGUGCUUGAAAUCUCGGCUUGGUUUAUUCAUCUUUCCGCUGCGAAUAAGCAGAAUUUGUCACGUAAGAGAUCGAAACAGGAAUACCAGUGGAGUCCGAAGCUUGUGUGACCGGAGUACUUUUACCGCGGCGGAAACGGAGAAGGCCCUGACAAGUAAAGGCUUACGUCAGUGAACAUGGCGGGAAGACAGAUUUGGGGCUCGGAGAGUGUUGAGGAAGAGGAAAAAAGGUGAAUGUGGAGAAGGUCAGAGGAACCUUGGAGAAACUCAAAGUGUGGAAGCUGAAAUAUUUCUGGCUUCAAGGUUGUAUCCUUUGAUAAGUGCAUGUGUAUGUAGGAAUUGGUUCAUGUUCAGGGAACUUAAGACAUUCGUUGAUUUAUUUGGGUCCAUGUUUCCAAGGAGAAUGUUGGUUAUUAGUUAUUGCUAAACCUAUUGCACUACACUAAUAAUUUAAACCUUU
This is a long non-coding RNA of Brassica oleracea var. oleracea, 607 nucleotides long. RefSeq lists it as uncharacterized. The record is from RefSeq and is a predicted model, not a curated record. The transcript is spliced from 2 exons. NCBI's taxonomy places the organism in Eukaryota, Viridiplantae, Streptophyta, Magnoliopsida, Brassicales, Brassicaceae.